Molecule: non-coding RNA, 48 nt
Filed under: Schistosoma mansoni
Lineage: Eukaryota; Metazoa; Platyhelminthes; Trematoda; Strigeidida; Schistosomatidae
Source: RNAcentral
AUCUAGCUGACGAGUCGCAAAUAGGACGAAACGCGCGUCACACUGGAU